Conger conger (European conger) is the source of this 80-nucleotide small nucleolar RNA. RefSeq annotates it as small nucleolar RNA SNORD61. The transcript has a single exon. Lineage: Eukaryota; Metazoa; Chordata; Actinopteri; Anguilliformes; Congridae. The record is from RefSeq and is a predicted model, not a curated record.
GCAAUGAUGAAAAUGACCAUUUUGAUCAGCAGUGAGGUGAAAAGUACCUUGUAACAUGUCCUCUAAGAAGUUCUGAGCUU